GGGCCCGCACAAGCGGUGGAGCAUGUGGAUUAAUUCGAUGAUACGCGAGGAACCUUACCAGGGCUUAAAUGGCGUUGGACCGCUGCCGAAAGGUGGCUUUUCUUCGGAACUGAUGUCAAGGUGCUGCAUGGCUGUCGUCAGCUCGUGCCGUGAGGUGUUGGUUAAGUCCCGCAACGAGCGCAACCCCUUUCUUUAGUUGCUAGCAGGUAAUGCUGAGGACUCUAAAGAUACUGCCUACGUAAGUAGUGAGGAAGGUGGGGACGACGUCAAGUCAUCAUGGCCCUUACGUCCUGGGCUUCACACGUGCUACAAUGGCGAUUACAAUGAGCAGCCACUUGGCAACAAGGAGCAAA
Molecule: ribosomal RNA, 353 nt
Filed under: uncultured bacterium
Lineage: Bacteria
Description: bacterial SSU rRNA
Rfam family: Bacterial small subunit ribosomal RNA
Source: RNAcentral